This 318-nucleotide ribosomal RNA is filed under the name uncultured bacterium. Its description in RNAcentral is "bacterial SSU rRNA". It matches the Rfam family "Bacterial small subunit ribosomal RNA", at positions 46 to 354 of the family's 1533-position model. The record is from RNAcentral.
GAAUUGGAUUAGGCGUAACACAUGCAAGUCGAACGGCAGCACGGACUUCGGUUUGGUGGCGAGAAACGAACGGGUGAGUAAUGCAUCGGAACGUGGGACAUCGUGGGGGAUAACGUAGCGAAAGUUACGGUAAUACCGCAUACGAUCUAAGGAUGAAAGCGGGGGAUCGUAAGACCUCGCGCGAAUGGAGCGGCCGAUGUUAGAUUAGGUAGUUGGUGGGGUAAAGGCUCACCAAGCCGACGAUCUAUAGCUGGUGUGAGAGGAUGAUCAGCCACACUGGGUUUGAGGCACGCCCCAGACUCCUACGGGAGGCAGCAG